UACGUAGGUGGCAAGCGUUGUCCGGAUUUACUGGGUGUAAAGGGCGUGUAGCCGGGUUGACAAGUCAGAUGUGAAAUCCUGCGGCUUAACCGCAGAACUGCAUUUGAAACUGUUGAUCUUGAGUACUGGAGAGGCAGACGGAAUUCCUAGUGUAGCGGUGAAAUGCGUAGAUAUUAGGAGGAACACCAGUGGCGAAGGCGGUCUGCUGGACAGCAACUGACGCUGAGGCUCGAAAGCGUGGGGAGCAAACAGG
Molecule: ribosomal RNA, 253 nt
Filed under: uncultured bacterium
Lineage: Bacteria
Description: partial 16S ribosomal RNA
Rfam family: Bacterial small subunit ribosomal RNA
Source: RNAcentral